GUUCUGACUUAAGAGCACCAUAACGAAGAUGUGACGAGGAAAUAUUGCCAAUCUCAUCCCGAUAGUAAACAGAGUGAACAUGUGGAGGCAGUCUAGCAAGAAGUUGCUUAAAUGAAGAGGCGCCAUUAGCAGAUGGCCUGGAUUGGUAUUCGAGUCUCGAAAAGAUUCCACUAUGUUUUGCUCCAGCAUGCUUCAGAUUAUAAUGCUCAGUCACUUGAACAUUCCCCCAGUGAGAAAUUUCCACCUCCCGCACGAGCUCUUCCACCACAGCAAACGCAUUAUUGUUCUCAAAAUGCACCAUUACCGGAGAAAACGAAUACGGCUUCU
Molecule: unclassified non-coding RNA, 327 nt
Filed under: Hevea brasiliensis (rubber tree)
Lineage: Eukaryota; Viridiplantae; Streptophyta; Magnoliopsida; Malpighiales; Euphorbiaceae
Source: RNAcentral